GCGCGUGUGCGCGCGCGCGCGCACAAAUAUAUAUAUAUAUAUAUAUAUAUAUGCGU
This 56-nucleotide small RNA is filed under the name Salix viminalis (osier). The record is from RNAcentral. Lineage: Eukaryota; Viridiplantae; Streptophyta; Magnoliopsida; Malpighiales; Salicaceae.